UGGGGAAUCUUCCGCAAUGGACGAAAGUCUGACGGAGCAACGCCGCGUGAGUGAAGAAGGUUUUCGGAUCGUAAAACUCUGUCUUUUGGGGCGAACGUGAGUAUGGUGAACAAUCAUAGUCAGUGACGGUACCAAAGGAGGAAGCCACGGCUAACUACGUGCCAGCAGCCGCGGUAAUACGUAGGUGGCAAGCGUUGUCCGGAAUUAUUGGGCGUAAAGAGCGCGUAGGCGGGAUAGUCAGUCUGUUGUAAAGUGCGGGGCUCAACCCCGUGAUCGCAAUGGAAACAGCUAUUCUUGAGUGCAGGAGAGGAAAGUGGAAUUCCCAGUGUAGCGGUGAAAUGCGUAGAUAUUGGGAGGAACACCAGUGGCGAAGGCGACUUUCUGGACUGUGUCUGACGCUGAGGCGCGAAAGCCAGGGGAGCGAACGGGAUUAGAUACCCCGGUAGUCCUGGCCGUAAACGAUGGGUACUAGGUGUGGGAGGUAUCGACCCCUUCCGUGCCGGAGUUAACGCAAUAAGUACCCCGCCUGGGGAGUACGGUCGCAAGACUGAAACUCAAAGGAAUUGACGGGGUCAUAGCUGUUUCCU
Molecule: ribosomal RNA, 587 nt
Filed under: uncultured bacterium
Lineage: Bacteria
Description: partial 16S ribosomal RNA
Rfam family: Bacterial small subunit ribosomal RNA
Source: RNAcentral